AGGACGAACGCUGGCGGCGUGCUUAACACAUGCAAGUCGAGCGGAAAGGCCAUUUCGGUGGUACUCGAGCGGCGAACGGGUGUGUAACACGUGAGUAAUCUGCCCCUGGCUUUGGGAUAGCCACCGGAAACGGUGAUUAAUACCGGAUAUGACCACGUACUGCAUGGUGUGUGGUGGAAAGUUUUUCGGCCAGGGAUGUGCUCGCGACCUAUCAGCUUGAUGGUGGGGUAAUGGCUCACCAUGGCUUUCG
This 250-nucleotide ribosomal RNA is filed under the name uncultured soil bacterium. Its description in RNAcentral is "partial 16S ribosomal RNA". It matches the Rfam family "Bacterial small subunit ribosomal RNA", at positions 26 to 279 of the family's 1533-position model. The record is from RNAcentral.